CAAAAGGGUGCCACAGGGGACCUGGAAACACAACACACUUCCUUUGUUCCCCUUGUGCAAUUUCCUACUGAGUCACUUCAGUUGCUCAACCUGAAGGACACUUAAGUAUAAUUACCAAGAAGGUACGCAGUCUCCCCAGAUGCAGUGGUGACACAAGCCCUCCUUUCACAAGUGCACACACAGGUCUGUUCUGUUUGCUUCGGGUUUUUCCACCACUAGUAACAUGACUCAGCUGGGUUCAGUGGCACGGAUGCCCUUGGAUGCACAGCAGCCCUGGUUUAUUUGUGGAUUCCAGACAUCAGCUUCGGUUAUUGAUUCCAUUUGAAGUUUCAGCUGGCAACCACCCACUCAGCACUGCAAAAUAAUUUGGGGCUUCCGGUGUGCUCUUCUCUUUCCUCUGACUUGACUGGAAAUGACUGUCAGCAUUUUCAAGAAAGAAGGCUGCAGUCGGGGCUGUAGAAUCGAAUCCGGUCUCCACCACCUAGAAACUCCGUGCCAGGUGCCUUGAUGGUUCUGCCUCGCUUAACCCACCAAAUGGGUCGCAGGAGCAGGUUGGCCCCAGCCAUCCCCUCUCUCAGAGAAGAGUCAAGCUACCACGUUUUAUGGAGCCUGUACCGCAGCUUCUUGUUUGUUUCCUUCCUUGCCCUUACCUCGAUUUGUAAUUCCUUUGGUAACUUUUAUGCUGCUGUUUGUUAUCUGUCUUCACCAUUUGAAUGUGAGCCCUCAACGCGGUGUCCCACCUUAUCACGGUGGCUGCAGCAUGAUGAAUAGUGGAGGGCUGAGUAAAAGAACCACAGUAAGAAAUAGUGUGGUGUGCGAGUCAGAGGCACAGGGGCGCAGAGGUUCAUAAUGUGGCCAUUCUUGGAGCCUCCAGUGCUAAUGCUGUGUCCAUCAGUCACUAGGAUCCUGGAUGGCACCAGAGGCAGAGAAGGAAAGGAGGGGGACUCUCCACCGCUGACUGUUCCUCCACACGCCUCUCCUCAUAUGCUCAUCUCCUAUCUCCUUCUCAAUAUCCCAAAGAACUAGCAAAUAAAACACUCAAAUAUUUCGUUCUCUGGGUCUGUUUUGUUUUUUAAAAGAUCUUAUAGGUUUUUGAAGAUUUGUAGAGGA
Molecule: long non-coding RNA, 1110 nt
Filed under: Cricetulus griseus (Chinese hamster)
Lineage: Eukaryota; Metazoa; Chordata; Mammalia; Rodentia; Cricetidae
Description: lncRNA (ENSCGRG00015035227.1)
Source: RNAcentral